This 464-nucleotide ribosomal RNA is filed under the name uncultured bacterium. RNAcentral describes it as "partial 16S ribosomal RNA". It matches the Rfam family "Bacterial small subunit ribosomal RNA", at positions 28 to 507 of the family's 1533-position model. The record is from RNAcentral.
GACGAACGCUGGCGGCGUGCUUAACACAUGCAAGUCGAACGGUAAGGCCCCAGCUUGCUGGGGUACACGAGUGGCGAACGGGUGAGUAACACGUGGGUGACCUGCCCCGCACUUCGGGAUAAGCCUGGGAAACUGGGUCUAAUACCGCAUAGGACCGCACCGUGAGGGUGUGGUGGAAAGUUUUUCGGUGUGGGAUGGGCCCGCGGCCUAUCAGCUUGUUGGUGGGGUAAUGGCCUACCAAGGCGGCGACGGGUAGCCGGCCUGAGAGGGUGGACGGCCACAUUGGGACUGAGACACGGCCCAGACUCCUACGGGAGGCAGCAGUGGGGAAUAUUGCACAAUGGGCGGAAGCCUGAUGCAGCGACGCCGCGUGGGGGAUGACGGCCUUCGGGUUGUAAACUCCUUUCACCAUCGACGAAGGUUUUCUGACGGUAGAUGGAGAAGAAGCACCGGCUAACUACGUG